GGUGGUGGGGCCUGCCCAUCCUGCGAUGCCUGCCCUGGAAUGGUGGCUACGAGUCCUAACACUAGUCUCUUUGCUCAGCACCAUGUUGAGCCCUUAGCCAGGAGAAACUGCUUCCAAGCUCAAUGGCAGAAUCCAGUUUCUCGAGGUCGUUGCAUGUUUUCUAGCUGACGGUCCUUAGCUCGUGGAGGUGCCAAUCCUUGCACGUGACCCGUGCGUCCCAGAGUCAGCAAGGACUCAUGCAGUUGCUUUGGGUCCAGUAGGAUAAUCCAGGCCCAUAGCCUUAAUUCCCCUGCAAAGCCCGUUUUACGGUGCAGUGUAGAUACCCGCAGGUUCUGGGGAUUAGGAUGUGGACGUGGUGGGGAGGGGCAGUCUAUCUACCACUGAUUCGGACUGCCCCUCCCACCCCUGCAAGAUGCCACAUAUGCUGGGGUGAGAAACACAGGUAAAACGGCUGUAGUUUGCUACCGUUUAUAGUGAAAAGGCAAAGAAAAAAUGUGCAUAUCUUCUUGUAUAAGUUUAGAAUAAAUUUGAAGGGUACAUUAGAAACUGGAAGGGGGAAUUGAGUAGCUGACAGAUAUUUCACCAAAACUCCUUUUUUACGUUUUGAAUUUUUAGCCAUGUGAGUGUGCCCCUGUUCAGUGCCAGUGAUAAUUUUCAUAAUUUUAAAAAACAAUGAACUGAGUAAAUACUGGAAAUGGUUGAGUCUCCCUGUGGGAUAGGGAGAGUGAGCCCCCCCCCCCACACACACACACACAGAAGCAGCAUCUGCUCCUUGAUGCCUCAGGGACAGGCUCCUUCACUCAUUGCUCUCCCUCCUUGAAUCCCAUCUGUGCCAUCAUGCUUACCACCUGUGCCAGGUUACUCUUCCUGAAGUGUGUUUGUUCUCUUUCCUGAUGUGGAAAGGUGCCUCCCUUUCACCAGGCAGCCCAGGCCUCUUGUAGUCUGUGCCCCUGUGACCCGGCCUCUGAGCUCUGUCUGCACCUUGCUCCAUCUCACACCUGCCUUCUUCCACUUUUCUAGCCUGGCGUGGCCCAGCCCCUCUCUUGGCCUGGUUUAAAUGCUCCUCCACCCCAGGACUUGGCCCGUUCCCCGCUGCCUCUGCCCAGAGCAUUUGCCCACCUCACUGAUCCAUUUGCUAUGAUUUGCCUUCCCACUGAGGUCCGUGAGGGCGAUAGUCACUGCUGUAUCUUCACACUGUGUCCUGAACCGACCCUGGCAUAUGGUGGGUGUUUGGGAAACACUGAAAACACGUGUCCAACAGGAAAAAUCAAGUCCAUAGUUUGGCAGUCAGUGACCAAAAUGGGCUUCUGCCAACAUUUCCUACCUUGUCUUCUCCAACCCUGAAAAGCAGAGGGGUCAGUGUACCUGUUGAUGGUCCAGUGCGAAUAAGGGGCCAGGUGGUGUCGCCCCACUCCCAGGUGGGCCACUGAGCAGGGCAUAUUGCAUUUGCACAGAGACUGGGCGGUGGGAGUGGUGGGGGGAAUCACUAACGGUGAUGUGACUUACCAUGUGUCCAGGUGGGAAUGUUCAGUCUUCCUGCCCAGAGGGAGCAGUUAGAAACAGAUAAGUCCAAGUUUGGGAGUCUUCACAGGACAGGGGUUGUUGAUGCCUCAGACUGGACAAAUUAACCAAGGAAGUUGGUAUAGAUGCAGAAGCGAACCCUGGUGCAACAUAAAGAGGGAGAUGAGGGAGCUGCUGGUGCAGUGGGAGGACAACCCAGGAGGGGAGAGACAAGGCUGUCUACUGUGGAUGUUGCCAGAAAGGCACAGCUCAGACGGAACUGACCACUAGAAAGGCACCAUAAUGACCACUUGCCUGUCUGUGGCAUAGACUGCCCCUAACUGUCCAGCCUCUGGACCUGCUGCUCCCCCUAUGAGUGGGGCUGGUGGUCCACCUUGGGGCCCCUGUGACAUGGAUUAGGGUAGAGGGGUGGGCCCUGUGGGACUGCUCUCCUGUCAUGGCAGGCCUGGGCCCUUCCAGGAGGUGCCCGUAGGGCACUGUGCUCGUUUUGUCUUAGGGUCAGCAUCUCACCCCUUCCCACCUGUGGCUCUGGCUCUGCAUAAGUCUGGAUCUUAUGGCUGGCUGAGCCUCCCCUUGGGUCCAGGAACAGGGAAUGUGGCGACAGUCCCUGAGACACAGCACUAGUUUCCAGGUCCCAGUCAUGCCCAGCCUCAGAGCUCAGCCCAAAGAGGCCUACAUGGAGCCCUCAGCUCCUGGACCAUCCCCUGGGAGCGCUGCAGGCCAGGCCCCUACGAGUGGUGCUCCCACCGUGACCCACCCUGCGUCUGUACUCCAUGGUCCUCUCUGCUGCAGCGACACUGAGCUGGGAACCACUGCACCUCACCAUCAGAAGCCAGAUUGUAACGCCAGGAUUGAGGGCAAGGAGUUUCUUCAGAAGGAAAAGAUUUCUGAAGAUUUGGAAUCAGAAGUAGAAACAUCAAAAAAUGAUACCAGUGGUUUUUCCCAGGUGCCUGAGCUUGGGGAACUCUGUGAUGACCUAUUAGGAACAAACUGGGGAGUACCUGGCGACACGAGACGGAUACAAUCCCUCUGCCAGGAGGAGGACAUCACACCAGUGGCAGUGCUUUGUAAGAGCCCCUUAGUGGGGAGGGAGCUGGACUGUGAGGAUUUUGAGACAAGCUUCAGUCUGAGCCCACACACAGUGGCAUACCAGGAAACCACUGUGGAAGAGAGGCCACAGGCGUAUAUGUGUGGUCCAACCCUCCAACACAGCAGGGACCUAAGUAGCCAUGAGGGGCUUCACUCAGCUGAAAGCCCCUUCAUAUGUAGCGAGUGUGGGAAGACCUUCAGAGGAAACCCUGAGCUCAUUCGGCAUCGGAUUGUCCACUCUGGACAGAAGUCUUUCCUGUGUGAUGAGUGCAGAAAGGCCUUCCGCCAGGACUUGGUUCUUACAAGUCACCAGAGGGCUCGUGUGAGCGAUAAACCCUACGUGUGCCAUGAAUGUGGGAAGGCCUUCCGUGUGCACUCAGACCUCGUUAAGCAUCAGGGCACCCACAGCGCAGAGAAGACUUGCAUCUGUGCCGAGUGCGGAAAGGCCUUCCGUCAGAACGCCAGCCUUAAGAAACACCAGAAGUGUCACAUGAGCCAGAAGCCCUAUGAGUGCAGUGACUGUGGGAAAGCCUUCCGGCGGAGCUCCAACCUCAUCCAGCAUCAGAGAAUUCAUUCUGGGGAGAAGCCGUACGUGUGCAGUGAUUGUGGGAAGGCCUUCAGACGGAGCUCGAACCUCAUCAAACACCACCGGAUCCACACAGGCGAGAAACCUUUCGAGUGUAAUGCGUGUGGGAAGGCCUUCAGCCAGAGCUCACACCUGCGGAAACACCAGCGGGUGCACACAGGCGAGAGACCUUACGAGUGUGAUGAGUGUGGCAAGCCAUUCAGCCGGGUCUCUAAUCUCAUUAAGCACCACCGGGUCCACACAGGAGAGAGACCCUAUAAGUGCAGUGACUGCGGGAAGGCCUUCAGCCAGAGUUCAAGCCUCAUUCAACAUCGGCGCAUUCACACUGGAGAGAAGCCCCAUGUGUGUAAUGUGUGUGGAAAAGCCUUUAGUUACAGCUCUGUGCUCAGAAAGCACCAGAUAAUCCAUACGGGAGAGAAGCCCUAUGAAUGUGGCGUGUGCGGGAAGGCAUUCAGCCACAGCUCGGCCCUCAUUCAGCACCAGGGUGUGCACACUGGUGACAAGCCCUACGAGUGUCGUGAAUGUGGGAAGACAUUCGGCCGCAGCUCCAACCUCAUCCUUCACCAGCGAGUUCACACCGGAGAGAAGCCCUAUGAAUGUACCGAAUGUGGGAAAACCUUCAGCCAGAGCUCAACUCUCAUUCAGCAUCAGAGAAUCCACAAUGGAUUGAAACCCCAUGAGUGUAACCAGUGUGGGAAAGCUUUCAACAGAAGCUCAAACCUCAUCCACCACCAGAAAGUUCACACUGGAGAGAAGCCGUAUACGUGCGUUGAGUGUGGUAAGGGCUUCAGCCAGAGCUCCCACCUCAUUCAGCAUCAGAUCAUCCACACUGGUGAGCGGCCCUACAAGUGCAGUGAGUGUGGGAAAUCCUUUAGCCAGCGCUCGGUCCUUAUCCAGCACCAGAGGAUUCACACUGGAGAGAAGCCCUACGACUGCACUGCAUGUGGGAAAGCCUUCAGUCAGCGGUCAAAGUUGGUCAAGCACCAGCUGACCCACACCAGGGAGGCUCUGCUUUGACUCAGGUCCACUCAGGGCUGCUGCACACUUACACCUGCGGCUGUUCCAGCCUCCAGCUCUGCCUUGCGGUCAGCCCACAGAGGCCAGCUCUCUCCUUGCUCUUCCUGUUCUCCCUACACACGCCCAGGCUUGGAGUUUAUUCCCAGAUCCAUUCAUCACCAGACAUUUAUGAAGCACCUGCUAGGUGCCCCUGGAAGGAAAAACACCUGAGUCCAUGUGACAGCCUGAGAAGUUCUUGUCUCUGGUGUGCAGUCUGGGCACCUCCACUAGGCCCGAUGGACGGAGCCUGUCCGUGCCGCAGGGGCCACUCCAAGGUAAUAGGGAGUCCCUUGUGUUCUUUUGUCAUUUUGGUGCAGUAAUUAUUUUUUAUCAAAAGACGCUUAAUUACUUAAAUUAGUAGUUUAUAUGGUAGGGAUACAUAGAAAGAGACAUUGGGGCGAGGAGAAAGGGGAAAAUGGGAAGAGGGAGACAGGGAGGAACCAUCACAAAGCCCAGCCUGGAUUUGGGAUUGAACACUGCCCCCCAAAUAUCUUAAAACACCCAUCCCUUCCUUGUGGUUGACCAUGGACCCCAGCCCACCUGCCCUAGUGCUGUUCUCAUCUUAGGAGGGUAUUGUUCAAAAGGGCAGAAAUUGUGGCUCCUCAUUUCCUAAACAGGACAUCCCUGAUAAGUGCCAGACCCACGGGUCAGCACAAUUGAUCGGGCAGGCUUCUUAGCACCAGUGGCCUGACGAACAAAUGGCCCCAUCUGCACAUUUUAAUAAACUGUGACAUCACCUAAGAGUUGCCCCCUUUGGGGUAAGGGAUGCUGGGAGUCUCUAGCCUUGCAGAUGCCCCAAAAUAUCACGGUCACAGAUGUCUGUACCUCUGCUCAGGCCAUGGUACUAGGCCUACCAACGACACCCUCAUCCCCUCUGGAGCUCCAGACGUCACUGACAGUGGCCAGGGCUCUCCUGUCUCCCCUCAGAACACACGAUGCUGGGCCCUGAAUCACCAGCCGCAGGAUGCAUGCUACACGGUGCCAUGGGCUUAAACAAGUCCUAAUUCAAUUAGGUGAAACGUGGCGUAUUUCAGUCAGCAGAGAUCAGGGGGGGAGUGUACUGAGCAGCCAGACUACCUUUUCUCAUGUUGGCUGACAACCUUGAAGUCUCCUCCUCCUCCGUGCCCCAUCGGGACCAGCUGAUAAGGAAGCUGGGUGCUCCUUCCUUGAUGCCAGAGGGGAGUUCAAACCACACAAACCCUCAUCUAUGCUUGGGAGCCCUCCCGCCAGCCCAGCAGCUCACAGUCAACACCCAGGCCAGGACCCUUUCCUUGCUCUUAAGCCACUUUGCACCUGUGCCAGUCCUGCCCUUCCUGCCUCAGAGACCUCCAUGAUGUGAGUAAUAAACUUCACACCUUCAGGAAAAAUAGAAGCCGUUCU
Molecule: RNA transcript, 5632 nt
Organism: Rhinolophus ferrumequinum (greater horseshoe bat)
Lineage: Eukaryota; Metazoa; Chordata; Mammalia; Chiroptera; Rhinolophidae
Gene: ZNF16
Gene name: zinc finger protein 16
Exons: 5
Source: RefSeq, a predicted model, not a curated record